Molecule: ribosomal RNA, 465 nt
Filed under: Vreelandella stevensii
Lineage: Bacteria; Pseudomonadati; Pseudomonadota; Gammaproteobacteria; Oceanospirillales; Halomonadaceae
Description: partial 16S ribosomal RNA
Rfam family: Bacterial small subunit ribosomal RNA
Source: RNAcentral
CCUACGGGUGGCAGCAGUGGGGAAUAUUGGACAAUGGGCGAAAGCCUGAUCCAGCCAUGCCGCGUGUGUGAAGAAGGCCUUCGGGUUGUAAAGCACUUUCAGUGGGGAAGAAAGCCUUGGGGCUAAUACCCUCGAGGAAGGACAUCACCCACAGAAGAAGCACCGGCUAACUCCGUGCCAGCAGCCGCGGUAAUACGGAGGGUGCGAGCGUUAAUCGGUAUUACUGGGCGUAAAGCGCGCGUAGGCGGUCUGAUAAGCCGGUUGUGAAAGCCCCGGGCUCAACCUGGGAACGGCAUCCGGAACUGUCAGGCUAGAGUGCAGGAGAGGAAGGUAGAAUUCCCGGUGUAGCGGUGAAAUGCGUAGAGAUCGGGAGGAAUACCAGUGGCGAAGGCGGCCUUCUGGACUGACACUGACGCUGAGGUGCGAAAGCGUGGGUAGCAAACAGGAUUAGAUACCCUGGUAGUC